This 281-nucleotide ribosomal RNA is filed under the name uncultured Eubacteriales bacterium. RNAcentral's name for it is "uncultured Clostridiales bacterium partial 16S ribosomal RNA". It matches the Rfam family "Bacterial small subunit ribosomal RNA", at positions 60 to 339 of the family's 1533-position model. Lineage: Bacteria; Bacillati; Bacillota; Clostridia; Eubacteriales. The record is from RNAcentral.
ACAGAAUCCUUCGGGACUGAUUAUUUUGUGACUGAGUGGCGGACGGGUGAGUAACGCGUGGGUAACCUGCCUUGUACAGGGGGAUAACACUUGGAAACAGGUGCUAAUACCGCAUGAGACCACAACGUCACAUGGCGAAGGGGUCAAAGGAGCAAUCCGGUAUGGGGUGAGCUCGCGUCCGAUUAGCUGGUUGGUGAGGUAACGGCCCACCAAGGCGACGAUCGGUAGCCGACCUGAGAGGGUGAUCGGCCACAUUGGAACUGAGAGACGGUCCAAACUCC